CAUCCUAUAAACAACACUAAAGUCCUGAAGGCAGUGGACUGCAGAGUCAAAGUGCAGUUUCUUCUUCAAGACAGCGACAGGAAGUCGGUGCUGGAGAGCCAUCUGCUGCUGUUUGCCGAGGAUGGAUAUGUUGAUCUCUAUCAUGUGCUGCUAAGUAAACAGGAGGGUUACAGAGUGGU
Molecule: long non-coding RNA, 179 nt
Organism: Oryzias melastigma (Indian medaka)
Lineage: Eukaryota; Metazoa; Chordata; Actinopteri; Beloniformes; Adrianichthyidae
Exons: 3
Source: RefSeq, a predicted model, not a curated record